UACAGAGGGUGCGAGCGUUGUUCGGAAUUAUUGGGCGUAAAGGGCGCGUAGGCGGUCAGCACAAGUCAGUUGUGAAAUCUCCGGGCUUAACUCGGAAAGGUCAACUGAUACUGUGCGACUAGAGUGCAGAAGGGGCAACUGGAAUUCUUGGUGUAGCGGUGAAAUGCGUAGAUAUCAAGAGGAACACCUGCGGCGAAGGCGGGUUGCUGGGCUGACACUGACGCUGAGGCGCGAAAGCCAGGGGAGCGAACGGG
Molecule: ribosomal RNA, 254 nt
Filed under: uncultured bacterium
Lineage: Bacteria
Description: partial 16S ribosomal RNA
Rfam family: Bacterial small subunit ribosomal RNA
Source: RNAcentral